Molecule: ribosomal RNA, 407 nt
Filed under: Verrucomicrobiota bacterium
Lineage: Bacteria; Pseudomonadati; Verrucomicrobiota
Description: Verrucomicrobia bacterium partial 16S ribosomal RNA
Rfam family: Bacterial small subunit ribosomal RNA
Source: RNAcentral
UGGGGAAUAUUGGACAAUGGAGGCAACUCUGAUCCAGCAAUUCUGUGUGUGUGAAGAAGGUUUUAGGACUGUAAAACACUUUUAGUAGGGAAGAAAGAAAUGACGGUACCUACAGAAGAAGCGACGGCUAAAUACGUGCCAGCAGCCGCGGUAAUACGUAUGUCGCGAGCGUUAUCCGGAAUUAUUGGGCUUAAAGGGCAUCUAGGCGGUUAAACAAGUUGAAGGUGAAAACCUGUGGCUCAACCAUAGGCUUGCCUACAAAACUGUAUAACUAGAGUACUGGGAAGGUGGGUGGAACUACACGAGUAGAGGUGAAAAUCGUAGAUAUGUGUAGGAAUGCCGAUGAUGAAGAUAACUCACUGGACAGCAACUGACGCUGAAGUGCGAAAGCUAGGGGAGCAAACAGG